This 1173-nucleotide long non-coding RNA is filed under the name Ficedula albicollis (Collared flycatcher). RNAcentral's name for it is "lncRNA (ENSFALG00000022231.2)". The record is from RNAcentral. Lineage: Eukaryota; Metazoa; Chordata; Aves; Passeriformes; Muscicapidae.
AAUUUUUUUUUUUUUUUUCCCUUCAUUUUGGGGGGGGGGUUUUUUUUUUUUUUCCCUUCAUCUUUCAUCAUUUUGGGGGAUCUCUGCUCCUCAUCUCAAAACUCAGGAAUUCUGGGGGGAAUUUCUGCCCCUCUCCUCAAAACUCAGGAAUUUUGGGGGGAAUUUCUGCCCCUCUUCUUGAAACUCAGGAUUUUUUUUGGGAAUCUCAGCUCAUCCCUUGGAAACUCAGGAAUUUUGGGGGAUCUCUGCCUUUCCCCUCAAAACUCAGGGAUUUUUAUCUCAAAACAGGAUUUUUGGGUGGAAUUUCUGCCCCUCUCCUUGAAACUCAGGAAUUUUUUUGGGAAUCUCAGCUCGUCCCUUCAAAACUCAGGAAUUUUGGGGGAUCACCCCAAAGUGACAACAAACCUUUCCCUGGGUGUUUGUCCCAGUUUUUGGGGAUGAGCCACAAUCAGGGAAUGGGGUGGAUGGAUUCACCCCAAAAUGAACAAACAAACAAACAAACAAACCCUUCCCCGCCCCUUUCCUGCCCUCCCUGGGUGUUUGUCCCAGUUUUUUUGGGGAUUAGCCCCACAGUCAGGGAAUGGGGUGGAUUCACCCCAAAAUGAACAAACAAACAAACAAACAAACCCUUCCCUGCCCCUUUCCUGCCCUCCCUGGGUGUUUUUCCCAGUUUUUUUUUGGGGAUUAGCCCCACAGUCAGGGAAUGGGGUGGAUUCACCCCAAAAUGAACAAACAAACCCUUUCCUGCCCUCCCUGGGUGUUUUCCCCUCCCUUGGCACCGCUGUCACCACAGCUCGGUCCCAGCCAGACCCAGACCCCGGCUGGGGCCAGCACAGGCGCUGGAAUUUUCAUUCAGGGGAUGCUCACGUUUCUGGCAGGUUUGGGAUGAAAGGAAUCGGCUCCAGGGACACCAGGGAGUGGGAAAAAGUGAUGCAGCCGGGCCUCAGGCGGGGUUUUGGGGAAGGGUGAGAGCGAGGAGAGGAGCUGGUGGACCUGAAAUGUUAAUUCCUUCCAGCUGUUGUCAGUCUGGCAGGUUCUCAAAGGAAGUUUAAUAGACUGCAGUCGUCUCCCCUCGGCCCCGUCCCCCAUCCUGCCAGAACCUGGGAUUACAUGAGCUGCUCUGCCUUCCAAAAACCCGGGUUUAUUUUAUUUUAUUUUAUUUUAAUUUUUUUU